Molecule: long non-coding RNA, 560 nt
Filed under: Taeniopygia guttata (zebra finch)
Lineage: Eukaryota; Metazoa; Chordata; Aves; Passeriformes; Estrildidae
Description: lncRNA (ENSTGUG00000026728.1)
Source: RNAcentral
CUCAGUUGUUGCAGCUGGAAUACAAAACAACUGCAUCAAACCCCUCUGAAAGCCAGGGUUUUUCUGGACACUGUGCCCACGCUACACAAUCAGAUUGAUUACUGAGAAGGAAAUAAGUGACUCUGCGAUGCUGCUCCCGAGGUUUCUGUGAUUUUCCCAGUAUUUCCCAGGUCAGCCUGGGUGCUCUGGCACACAUGGAAAUCCAGAUGCUCCCUGGAGACCCCCGGGUGUUGGCAUCAGGAGCUGGCCUGGACUGUCCCAAGUGUGCUUUAGCUUCCAUCCCACAGAAUGAAAGGGACCAGGAUGGGGAUUCCAAGUCAAGGGCCAUGGCUCCUCUGACCAGACCAGUGGAAUUGUUCUGCAGAGAAGCAGUGAAUUGAGACCAAAAUCUGCUGGAAAAUGGAAGCAGUUUUCAUUGACUUUAACAGGCUGUAAACUCACUGAUGUUUAGUGAACCUGUUGGAGAGAAAAAAAAAAAAAAACCAACAAAAAAACCCAAAACCAAAAAAACUGAGAAAGGCCACAACUCUGAUUUCGUUUCUCUCGGAUUGAUACGGUUU